RNAcentral lists this unclassified non-coding RNA (640 nucleotides) under Celtis vandervoetiana. RNAcentral describes it as "partial contains internal transcribed spacer 1, 5.8S ribosomal RNA, and internal transcribed spacer 2". The stretch from base 243 to 398 matches the Rfam family "5.8S ribosomal RNA". The record is from RNAcentral. Lineage: Eukaryota; Viridiplantae; Streptophyta; Magnoliopsida; Rosales; Cannabaceae.
UGCGGAGGAUCAUUGUCGAAACCUGCACAGCAGAACGACCCGCGAACACGUUUAAAACCAACCGGGGGAGGCCAGGGGACCUCGUGCCUCGGACCUCCCCCGAUCCGCCGGGAGCGAUCUCGGCGGCCUAACGAACCCCGGCGCGGUCUGCGCCAAGGAAUAGAAACGAACGAGCGCGCUCUCGCGGGGACCCGGGAACGGUGCUCUUCGCGAGAGUCGCGCGAUCUUCGAUAUGUCAAAACGACUCUCGGCAACGGAUAUCUCGGCUCUCGCAUCGAUGAAGAACGUAGCGAAAUGCGAUACUUGGUGUGAAUUGCAGAAUCCCGUGAACCAUCGAGUCUUUGAACGCAAGUUGCGCCCGAAGCCAUUAGGCCGAGGGCACGUCUGCCUGGGCGUCACACAUCGUUGCCCCCCCCCCCCCGCGCCUCGCUCUGCGAGCGCGCGUUCGGGCGGGGGCGGAGAUUGGCCUCCCGUGCGCGAUUAGCCUCGCGGUUGGCCCAAAAACGAGUCCUCGGUUGCGAGCGCCGCAACAUUCGGUGGUUGUCGAGCAUUCGGUGCCCCGUUGCGCGCGCUCUAGCACGUCGCGAGACCCUCGGAGACCCCCAACGCGCCUUAACUCGGCGCUCCAACGCGACCCCAG